AUGUUGACCUCGGAUCAGGUAGGGAUACCCGCUGAACUUAAGCAUAUCAAUAAGCGGAGGA
Molecule: ribosomal RNA, 61 nt
Filed under: Aspergillus caninus
Lineage: Eukaryota; Fungi; Ascomycota; Eurotiomycetes; Eurotiales; Aspergillaceae
Description: partial 28S ribosomal RNA
Rfam family: Eukaryotic large subunit ribosomal RNA
Source: RNAcentral